GAUAUACUUACUUGACUAAGUACCUACAAGUAUUUAUCGUAAAUUGAGGAAAAUAUGUGCCAAAGUAUAUGUGUAAAUAUGUAGGUAUUUGUUCUAUUUCGUAUUUGUUAAUCAAGUUUAUCUUCAUCGUAAAAUCAAAGCAGUCCCGUUUUGGUCCAUAUAGUCUUGGCGCGUGAUCGCAUCCUAGAAUAGAAAUACUUAUGACACAGCCUUCGGGACUGAUAGUCCACAACACCAUUCCAAAGGACGAACGUCAACAGGCAACAAAAUCGCAGCUAGCUAGCUAAAAAUCGAUAUAGUUUACAAACACACAUUUCCAAAACAUACAUAAGAACACUCGAUUGAAUUCUCUUUCAAAUAAAAAAAAACUAGAUCAAAAUCGGUUCAGCCGUUUGGGUGCUACGAUGCUACGGACAGAUAUACAGAUACACAUACACGUUAAACUUAUAACUCCCUUCUGUCGUCGGCCGUUAAGACAUGUGAAACGCGUUAGUUAUUUUUUUAUCGAUACGUGUCGAUUUAUUCAUAAAUCUAUGGCUUUCGACUGGAAAAAAGUUGAACGUUUAUCACAGUAUUCUUUCGUGCGAACAAAACAGAGAAUGAAAUUAAUAUUUUUCUGUUUGUUUGUUCUCAUUGACGUGUGUCGCGGCUAUACAGAUUUGGAUGAGGGUCCUACGUGUUUGCAACCAAUCAAAACCGGUUUUUGUUUUGCAUACGAGCAAAGGUAUGCCUUCAACAUUGUAACUGGAAGGUGUGAGGGGUUCGUAUUUGCUGGUUGUUAUGGCAACGAGAAU
This is a long non-coding RNA of Plodia interpunctella (Indianmeal moth), 794 nucleotides long. RefSeq lists it as uncharacterized. Lineage: Eukaryota; Metazoa; Arthropoda; Insecta; Lepidoptera; Pyralidae. The record is from RefSeq and is a predicted model, not a curated record. The transcript has 3 exons.